This 496-nucleotide ribosomal RNA is filed under the name uncultured bacterium. Its description in RNAcentral is "partial 16S ribosomal RNA". It matches the Rfam family "Bacterial small subunit ribosomal RNA", at positions 28 to 506 of the family's 1533-position model. The record is from RNAcentral.
GAUGAACGCUGGCGGCGUGCCUAAUACAUGCAAGUCGAGCGAACGGACGAGAAGCUUGCUUCUCUGAUGUUAGCGGCGGACGGGUGAGUAACACGUGGAUAACCUACCUAUAAGACUGGGAUAACUUCGGGAAACCGGAGCUAAUACCGGAUGAUAUUUUGAACCGCAUGGUUCAAAAGUGAAAGACGGUCUUGCUGUCACUUAUAGAUGGAUCCGGGCUGCAUUAGCUAGUUGGUAAGGUAACGGCUUACCAAGGCAACGAUGCAUAGCCGACCUGAGAGGGUGAUCGGCCACCCUGAAACUGAGACACGGUCCAGACUCCUACGGGAGGCAGCAGUAGGGAAUCUUCCGCAAUGGGCGAAAGCCUGACGGAGCAACGCCGCGUGAGUGAUGAAGGUCUUCGGAUCGUAAAACUCUGUUAUUAGGGAAGAACAUAUGUGUAAGUAACUGUGCACAUCUUGACGUUACCUAAUCAGAAAGCCACGGCUAACUACGU